UAGAUACCCUAGUAUUUAAAAUAUAUGAAAUUAGUAAAGUUGAAAUUUAAUAAUUUUGGCGGUUAGUUUUUAAUUAGAGGAGCUUGUUAUUAACAGAAGGAGCUCUUUAAAUCUUACAGGUAAGAAAGGUUUAUUCAUCUCCGUUAUAAGAUAAUAUUUCAAUAAAAGAUUAUAAGGUAUUAUUUCAGGUCAAGAUGUAGCUUCUCCCUGCAAAAAUUAGCUACAAUAUAGAAUUUAUGGAUAUUCUAAGAAAAUAUAUUAGGUUGAAAUUGAAUUUAAUUGUAAUAUAAAUUAGAAUAUUUAAGUGAAAUAUAUAAGCUAAUGUACAUAUUGCCCGUCACUUCUUAAUUAACUGAAUAAGUCGUAACAAA
RNAcentral lists this ribosomal RNA (371 nucleotides) under Manaosbiidae sp. MZSP 73068. RNAcentral's name for it is "partial small subunit ribosomal RNA". The record is from RNAcentral. Lineage: Eukaryota; Metazoa; Arthropoda; Arachnida; Opiliones; Manaosbiidae.